Molecule: ribosomal RNA, 465 nt
Filed under: uncultured bacterium
Lineage: Bacteria
Description: partial 16S ribosomal RNA
Rfam family: Bacterial small subunit ribosomal RNA
Source: RNAcentral
CCUACGGGGUGCAGCAGUGGGGAAUUUUGCGCAAUGCUCGUAAGAGUGACGCAGCGACGCCGCGUGAAUGACGAAGGCCUUCGGGUCGUAAAGUUCUUUCGACAGGGAAGAAAAUGCCUAUAAGUAACUGUGUAUGUAUUGACGGUACCUGUAUAAGCAGCCCCGGCUAACUCCGUGCCAGCAGCCGCGGUAAUACGGAGGGGGCGAGCGUUGUUCGGAGGGACUGGGCGUAAAGAGCACGUAGGCGGUGUUGUAAGUCAUUAGUCAAAGACUAGAGCUCAACUUUAGUAAGGCUAGUGAUACUAUAAUACUAGAGUAUCAGAGAGGAUUGCAGAAUUCCUGGUGUAGCGGUGAAAUGCGUAGAUAUCAGGAGGAAUACCGUUAGCGAAGGCGGCAAUCUGGCUGGAAACUGACGCUGAGGUGCGAAAGCGUGGGUAGCAAACAGGAUUAGAUACCCUAGUAGUC